GAUGAACGCUGGCGGCGUGCCUAAUACAUGCAAGUCGAGCGAACAGACGAGGAGCUUGCUCCUUCGACGUUAGCGGCGGACGGGUGAGUAACACGUAGGUAACCUACCUAUAAGACUGGGAUAACUUCGGGAAACCGGAGCUAAUACCGGAUAAUAUUUCGAACCGCAUGGUUCGAUAGUGAAAGAUGGCUUUGCUAUCACUUAUAGAUGGACCUGCGCCGUAUUAGCUAGUUGGUAAGGUAACGGCUUACCAAGGCAACGAUACGUAGCCGACCUGAGAGGGUGAUCGGCCACACUGGAACUGAGACACGGUCCAGACUCCUACGGGAGGCAGCAGUAGGGAAUCUUCCGCAAUGGGCGAAAGCCUGACGGAGCAACGCCGCGUGAGUGAUGAAGGUCUUCGGAUCGUAAAACUCUGUUAUUAGGGAAGAACAAACGUGGAAGUAACUGUGCACGUCUUGACGGUACCUAAUCAGAAAGCCACGGCUAACUACGUG
This 497-nucleotide ribosomal RNA is filed under the name uncultured bacterium. RNAcentral's name for it is "partial 16S ribosomal RNA". It matches the Rfam family "Bacterial small subunit ribosomal RNA", at positions 28 to 507 of the family's 1533-position model. The record is from RNAcentral.